UUUGUUGUGGUCAAGUUUUUAAGGGCACACGGUGGAUGCCUUGGCAUCAGGAACCGAUGAAGGACGUGGGAAUCUGCGAUAAGCCUCGGGUAGUCGAUAACCAGACUGUGAUCCGAGGAUUUCCGAAUGGGGAAACCCGGCUGGAGUCAUGUCCAGUCACCCGCACCUGAAUAUAUAGGGUGUGUGGAGGGAACGUGGGGAAGUGAAACAUCUCAGUACCCACAGGAAGAGAAAACAACAGUGAUUCCGUGAGUAGUGGCGAGCGAAAGCGGAACAGGCUAAACCGCAUGCAUGUCAAGCUGGUAGGUGUUGUGUGUGCGGGGUUGUGGGAGUGUGUUCGAUCAGGCUACCGACUGGUCGGGGAGUAAGAAAUUCAUGGCGUAGGCGAAAGGUCUGGAAAGGCCUGGCGUAGAGGGUGUGACCCCCGUAGCCGAAACGUUGUGAUCUCCCUUAUGCAUUUCCCAAGUAGCACGGGGCCCGAGAAAUCCUGUGUGAAUCUGGCGGGACCACCCGCUAAGCCUAAAUAUUCCCUGAUGACCGAUAGCGGACAAGUACCGUGAGGGAAAGGUGAAAAGUACCCCGGGAGGGGAGUGAAAUAGAAUCUGAAACCGUGUGCUUACAACCCGUCGGAGCCUCCUUGUGGGGUGACGGCGUGCCUUUUGAAGAAUGAGCCUGCGAGUUAGUGCUUCGUGGCGAGGUUAACCCGUGUGGGGAAGCCGUAGCGAAAGCGAGUCCGAAUAGGGCGUUUGAGUCGCGGGGUCUAGACCCGAAGCGGAGUGAUCUACCCAUGGCCAGGUUGAAGCGACGGUAAGACGUCGUGGAGGACCGAACCCACUUAGGUUGAAAACUGAGGGGAUGAGCUGUGGGUAGGGGUGAAAGGCCAAUCAAACUCCGUGAUAGCUGGUUCUCCCCGAAAUGCAUUUAGGUGCAGCGUCGCGUGUUUCUUGCCGGAGGUAGAGCUACUGGAUGGCUAAUGGGCCCCACCGGGUUACUGACGUCAGCCAAACUCCGAAUGCCGGUAAGUGAGAACGCGGCAGUGAGACUGCGGGGGAUAAGCUUCGUAGUCGAGAGGGAAACAGCCCAGAUCAUCAGCUAAGGUCCCUAAGCGUGUGCUAAGUGGAAAAGGAUGUGGAGUUGCAAUGACAACCAGGAGGUUGGCUUAGAAGCAGCCACCCUUGAAAGAGUGCGUAAUAGCUCACUGGUCAAGUGAUUCCGCGCCGACAAUGUAGCGGGGCUCAAGCACAUCACCGAAGCUGUGGCAAUCACACAUUAUCCUCCUUUUUGGCAGGGGUGUGGUUGGGUAGGGGAGCGUCGUGUGGCGAGUGAAGCGGCCGAGUGAUCGAGUCGUGGACGCCACACGAGUGAGAAUGCAGGCAUGAGUAGCGAAAGACGGGUGCGAAACCCGUCCGCCGAAUGACCAAGGGUUCCAGGGUCAAGUUAAUCUUCCCUGGGUAAGUCGGGACCUAAGGCGAGGCCGACAGGCGUAGUCGAUGGACAACGGGUUGAUAUUCCCGUACCGGCGCAAGACCGCCCAUAUCGAGGCAGGGGAUGCUAAGCACCCGAAGCCGCCCUCACCACACCUUUGGU
RNAcentral lists this ribosomal RNA (1587 nucleotides) under Mobilicoccus pelagius NBRC 104925. RNAcentral's name for it is "bacterial LSU rRNA". It matches the Rfam family "Bacterial large subunit ribosomal RNA", at positions 1 to 1507 of the family's 2925-position model. The record is from RNAcentral. Lineage: Bacteria; Bacillati; Actinomycetota; Actinomycetes; Micrococcales; Dermatophilaceae.